Molecule: non-coding RNA, 479 nt
Filed under: Populus trichocarpa (black cottonwood)
Lineage: Eukaryota; Viridiplantae; Streptophyta; Magnoliopsida; Malpighiales; Salicaceae
Description: Eukaryotic large subunit ribosomal RNA
Rfam family: Eukaryotic large subunit ribosomal RNA
Source: Rfam by way of RNAcentral
UGGAACGAAGUAGGCAAGGAAAGUCGACAGAAUGGAUAUGUAACCUCGAGAAAGGAUUGGCUCUGAAGGCUGGGCUUGGGGGUCUUAUUCUCAAACUCAUAUGUUGUCGAUGGACUGCUUAACUGCUCUUAUGGUGAGAACGGGUCUUCGUAUACUGGCGAGGGGACAGACUGAGAACAACCCCUUCGAAGGCCUCCCCUAAACUCCCUCAUGUGUUGAACAGUCGACUCAAAAUUGAUAUGGACAAGGGGAAUUCGAUUGUUUAAUUAAAACAAAGCAUUGCGAUGGUCCCUGUGGAUGCUCACGCAAUAUGAUUUUCUGCCCAGUGCUUUGAAUGUCAGAGUGAAGAAAUUCAAUCAAGCACAAGUAAAUAGCAGGAGUAACUAUGACUCUUUUAAGGUGGUCAAAUGCCUCGUCAUCUAAUUAGUGAUAUGCAUACAUAGAUUAACAAGAUUUUCAUUAUCCAUGACUACUAUCCA